CCGGCGGAGAGGGAGACGCGGGGUGGCCGGCCAUGGCCGCGCUCGCUGGCUGGGGACGGCGGCACCCGCUAGGAGGCCGCGCGGGGAGGGGAGGGGAGGGGGAGGGAGGGGCUAGGCCGCCGCCUUUGUCACCUCUGCCGUCCUAGCAGGAUUCUUGGAUCAGGAAAUAGCUCACCUGGUAGUGUGUAAACCGUACUGUGAACAAGACCCUGGGUUCAAACCCUGGAACCUCAUGGAAGCAUCAUGGGCAUCUCUGAAGAACUCUAUGGAUGGUGCAGCAGUGGGAUGCCAUCAGGUUCCAGAUGCUACCAUGAUGCCAACCUGACUUCUCUGGGCAGACGACCCCACCAAUGUGUCCUGCGACCCUGCUUCCCCAGAACUCUGCCCCACUAGGGAAAGAGAGAGACAGGCUGGGAGUAUGGAUCCAACUGUCAACGCACAUGUUCAGCAGAGAAGCAAUUACAGAAGCCAGACCUCCCGCCUUCUGCACCCCAUAAUGAUCCUGAGUCCAUGCUUCCUGAGGGAUAAAGGAUAGGGAAGCUAUCAGGGGAGGGGAUGGGAUACGGAAUUCUGGGGGUGGGAAUUGUGUGGAGUUGUUCCCUUCUUUUCCUAUAGUCUUGUCAGUAUUUUCAUUUUCAUAAAUUAAAAAAAACUAAAAAAUAAAAAUAAUGUAAAAGCAG
Long non-coding RNA from Erinaceus europaeus (western European hedgehog), 680 nucleotides. RefSeq lists it as uncharacterized. The record is from RefSeq and is a predicted model, not a curated record. The transcript is spliced from 3 exons. NCBI's taxonomy places the organism in Eukaryota, Metazoa, Chordata, Mammalia, Eulipotyphla, Erinaceidae.